GGGGCUGUGGCUCAGUGGCAGAGCACUUGCCUCAUACAUAUGAGGCACUGGGUUAGAACCUCAGCACCA
RNAcentral lists this transfer RNA (69 nucleotides) under Ictidomys tridecemlineatus (thirteen-lined ground squirrel). RNAcentral describes it as "Spermophilus tridecemlineatus (thirteen-lined ground squirrel) tRNA". It matches the Rfam family "tRNA". Rfam says of the family: Transfer RNA (tRNA) molecules are approximately 80 nucleotides in length. Their secondary structure includes four short double-helical elements and three loops (D, anti-codon, and T loops). The record is from Rfam by way of RNAcentral. Lineage: Eukaryota; Metazoa; Chordata; Mammalia; Rodentia; Sciuridae.